GCUUGCUGCAUGCUUUAUACAUGCAAGUCGAACGGAGGCCCUAGCUUGCUAGGUGUCCUUAGUGGCGCACGGGUGAGUAACACGUGGGAACAUACCUUAUAGUACGGAAUAACUGCGGGAAACUGUAGCUAAUACCGUAUACUCCAGUAAUGGGAAAGAUUUAUCGCUAUAAGAUUGGCCCGCGCAAGAUUAGCUUGUUGGUGAGGUAAAAGCUCACCAAGGCUUCGAUCUUUAGCUGGUUUGAGAGGACGAUCAGCCACACUGGGACUGAGACACGGCCCAGACUCCUACGGGAGGCAGCAGUAGGGAAUAUUGGACAAUGGGGGCAACCCUGAUCCAGCAAUGCAGCGUGAGUGACGAAGGCCUUAGGGUUGUAAAACUCUUUCAUCGGUGAGGAUAAUGACAGUAGCCGAAGAAGAAGGACCGGCUAAUUCCGUGCCAGCAGCCGCGGUAAUACGGAAGGUCCUAGCGUUGUUCGGAAUUACUGGGCGUAAAGCGCAUGUAGGCGGAACAGAAAGUUAGAAGUGAAAUCCCUGGGCUCAACCUAGGAAUUGCUUUUAAAACUUCUGUUCUGGAAUUCAGGAGAGGAAAAUGGAAUUUCCAGUGUAGAGGUGAAAUUCGUAGAUAUUGGAAGGAACACCAGUGGCGAAGGCGAUUUUCUGGACUGAUAUUGACGCUGAGAUGCGAAGGCAUGGGUAGCAAACGGGAUUAGAUACCCCGGUAGUCCAUGCAGUAAACGAUGGGUGCUAGUCGUCGGACUUUUGUUCGGUGUCGUAGCUAACGCGUUAAGCACCCCGCC
RNAcentral lists this ribosomal RNA (799 nucleotides) under uncultured Alphaproteobacteria bacterium. RNAcentral describes it as "bacterial SSU rRNA". It matches the Rfam family "Bacterial small subunit ribosomal RNA", at positions 35 to 873 of the family's 1533-position model. The record is from RNAcentral. Lineage: Bacteria; Pseudomonadati; Pseudomonadota; Alphaproteobacteria.